Molecule: ribosomal RNA, 465 nt
Filed under: uncultured bacterium
Lineage: Bacteria
Description: bacterial SSU rRNA
Rfam family: Bacterial small subunit ribosomal RNA
Source: RNAcentral
CCCAGACUCCUACGGGAGGCAGCAGUGAGGAAUAUUGGUCAAUGGGCGGGAGCCUGAACCAGCCAAGCCGCGUGAGGGAGGAAGGUACAGAGUAUCGUAAACCUCUUUUGUCAGGGAACAAAGACUGGGACGCGUCCCCGGAUGAGUGUACCUGAAGAAAAAGCAUCGGCUAACUCCGUGCCAGCAGCCGCGGUAAUACGGAGGAUGCGAGCGUUAUCCGGAUUUAUUGGGUUUAAAGGGUGCGUAGGCGGACGCUUAAGUCAGCGGUAAAAUUGCGGGGCUCAACCCCGUCGUGCCGUUGAAACUGAUGUUCUUGAGUGGGCGAGAAGUAUGCGGAAUGCGUGGUGUAGCGGUGAAAUGCAUAGAUAUCACGCAGAACUCCGAUUGCGAAGGCAGCAUACCGGCGCCCAACUGACGCUGAAGCACGAAAGCGUGGGUAUCGAACAGGAUUAGAUACCCUAGUAC